UACAGAGGUCUCAAGCGUUGUUCGGAUUCAUUGGGCGUAAAGGGUGCGUAGGCGGCGCGGUAAGUCGGGUGUGAAAUCUCGGGGCUUAACUCCGAAACUGCAUUCGAUACUACCGUGCUUGAGGACUGGAGAGGAGACUGGAAUUUACGGUGUAGCAGUGAAAUGCGUAGAUAUCGUAAGGAAGACCAGUGGCGAAGGCGAGUCUCUGGACAGUUACCGACGCUGAGGCACGAAGGCCAGGGGAGCAAACGGG
This 253-nucleotide ribosomal RNA is filed under the name uncultured bacterium. Its description in RNAcentral is "partial 16S ribosomal RNA". It matches the Rfam family "Bacterial small subunit ribosomal RNA", at positions 524 to 776 of the family's 1533-position model. The record is from RNAcentral.